GGAGUAAAAGUCGUAACAAGGUUUCCGUAGGUGAACCUGCGGAAGGAUCAUUCAUAAUAAGUGUUUUACUGCACUUUUUAAAAAUAGUACUCACCUUGUGUGCAAUGUUGUGUUUCUUUUCGGAGAAACACCUACACCAACCUAUAACCUUGAACCACUUUGUCUGAAAAACUACUAUGAAUACUUAAUUCAAAAUACAACUUUCAACAACGGAUCUCUUGGCUCCC
Molecule: unclassified non-coding RNA, 227 nt
Filed under: plant metagenome
Description: partial contains small subunit ribosomal RNA, internal transcribed spacer 1, and 5.8S ribosomal RNA
Rfam family: Eukaryotic small subunit ribosomal RNA (bases 1-53)
Source: RNAcentral